This 484-nucleotide ribosomal RNA is filed under the name uncultured bacterium. RNAcentral's name for it is "partial 16S ribosomal RNA". It matches the Rfam family "Bacterial small subunit ribosomal RNA", at positions 30 to 507 of the family's 1533-position model. The record is from RNAcentral.
AUUGAACGCUGGCGGCAGGCCUAACACAUGCAAGUCGAGCGGAUGAAGGGAGCUUGCUCCUGGAUUCAGCGGCGGACGGGUGAGUAAUGCCUAGGAAUCUGCCUGGUAGUGGGGGAUAACGUCCGGAAACGGGCGCUAAUACCGCAUACGUCCUGAGGGAGAAAGUGGGGGAUCUUCGGACCUCACGCUAUCAGAUGGGCCUAGGUCGGAUUAGCUAGUUGGUGGGGUAAAGGCCUACCAAGGCGACGAUCCGUAACUGGUCUGAGUGGAUGAUCAGUCACACUGGAACUGAGACACGGUCCAGACUCCUACGGGAGGCAGCAGUGGGGAAUAUUGGACAAUGGGCGAAAGCCUGAUCCAGCCAUGCCGCGUGUGUGAAGAAGGUCUUCGGAUUGUAAAGCACUUUAAGUUGGGAGGAAGGGCAGUAAGUUAAUACCUUGCUGUUUUGACGUUACCAACAGAAUAAGCACCGGCUAACUUCGUG